UACGAAGGGGGCUAGCGUUGCUCGGAAUUACUGGGCGUAAAGCGUGCGCAGGCGGUUUUGUAAGUUUGUCGUGAAAGCCCCGGGCUCAACCUGGGAAUUGCGAUGAAGACUGCAAGGCUUGAAUCUGGCAGAGGGGGGUAGAAUUCCACGUGUAGCAGUGAAAUGCGUAGAGAUGUGGAGGAACACCGAUGGCGAAGGCAGCCCCCUGGGUCAAGAUUGACGCUCAUGCACGAAAGCGUGGGGAGCAAACAGG
RNAcentral lists this ribosomal RNA (253 nucleotides) under uncultured bacterium. Its description in RNAcentral is "partial 16S ribosomal RNA". It matches the Rfam family "Bacterial small subunit ribosomal RNA", at positions 524 to 776 of the family's 1533-position model. The record is from RNAcentral.